GUCAAAUCAAAAUGACUUUUUUAUUUUUCCUCUCCCUCCUGCAUCGAAUCCCACAGGAAACUCUCUCUCUCUCUCUAUUGCUCGAUCGAUCGAUGUCCACAUUUCUUCUAACAUUCCCCGAUUUUCAUGCUUCACUAGCGAUUAGCGAAUACCGAUAUUUUCAAUACCUAAUCUGUUUGUCUUUUUGCAUUUAUUAACUCUUCAAUAUCUCGGAAAAUCUUUCCAAUCCCAGGAAUUGAAUUUCCCAAAACUGUUAUCUAUUUCAUCGCCAAUUUGCUCUUUUUGUCUCUUCUCAUCCUCUUUCAUCCAUUAUCUUUUCAAAUUUUCUCAAUUUCGAGGAUUUGAGAUUUCCAUAUUUGAAAAUUUUCAGAUGGGUACACUGUGAAGUUGAGUUUCCUGGAAGUGUAAUCUGCUGGGUGGGAGAGAGGAAGUAUUGUUCAGGCGCGCUGUAGAUCCUCUGUUUCUGCUACUCUGUUCGUCUAUGAUAUUGUAAUUAAUUGGAAAAGCGCUUUUUUAGGAGAUUCUCGGCUCAAUUGUUUAUACCUGUUCUCAAAUUCCCACAAAAAUAAGCCUGUUUUGUCACAACGCUUAUAGAGAUUAGGGUAAUUUCUUUUCUGGGUAUUUAUAUUUUCAUCAUAUUAACUAGAAGGGAAGAAAAAGUUUGCUUUGUUAUUAAUUUGUUGGUCUCUGCUAGACAUAUUGUUGUUCAUUGUUCUUGCUAGGAGAGCAAAAUCAUUUUGAUUUCGAUUCUAAUUUCUAUUAUAUUAUAUACUUUCACUCUUUGCUGGUCAACGUUCGAAGUGAAAACAGACAAAAGCAAAGUAAAGAACAAUAAAAGGGGAAAACAAAUAAAAAACUUAGCACUCACAAAUAGCGAUUACGCAUUUUGGCCCUUUUGGCUUGAGUAGCAUACAAAGAAGCAGCGAGGCGUGCGCAACUAAUCUUAUACCUGACUUGUACAUUAUAGUAGUCUGCUUGGUGGGGGUGGUUGAGACUUGCCUAACUCGUUUGUUAACCUUAUAAAGCAAAACCUAUCGCUCUCUUCAUCAUUUUGUGCUAAAAGUUGUUAAAUUUGGGGGUGUCUUAGAGGCUUUUUAGCAGGUGGGUCAAAGAGAAUUGGGGUUAAACAAGAGCUUAUCUCUGAGAUUUGUGAGAGAGAUUAUUGGUUGAUUUUGUGUCGAAGGAAAAACAGAGAUGGGUUCCUAUGGAAAGCUUGCCACGAGGGCUUUGGAGACUGAGAUGCCGGUCAUGGUUCAGAUACAGGAAUUGAUCCGAGGAGCGAAAAAUGCCAUGUCUUUGGCCCAGGGGGUUGUUCAUUGGCAACCGCCCAAACAGGCAUUAGAAAAGGUGAAAGAACUUGUAUGGGACCCUUCAAUUAGUCGUUAUGGUGCUGAUGAGGGUAUCACUGAACUCAGGGAGGCAUUGACAGUGAAGCUGCGAAAGGAAAAUAAAUUGGUGAAAUCUUCAGUUAUGGUUACUGCUGGUGCAAAUCAGGCAUUUGUGAAUCUUGUUCUUGCAUUGUGUGAUGCUGGGGAUUCUGUAGUCAUGUUUGCUCCAUACUAUUUCAAUGCAUACAUGUCCUUCCAGAUGACAGGCGUCACUAAUAUUUUAGUGGGUCCUGGUAACCCAAAGACACUUCAUCCGGAUGCAGGUGAAGCUUGAUAAAGUGCUCAUUCCAUAGCAUUUGCACCUCUUUUUUAUGUAAUAUAGAGCAUUAUCUGCAAGGUGCACCUGGUUAUUUCAAGUCAGACAUUCUUUGGAUGGAGUCCAACGUAAAUUUCAUACUCUUCUUUUGUGAUUGUCUGAUUACCAAUAAAGUCCAAUUAUUUUAGGAGUUGGGCUUUGUGGACUUCUUUUAAUAGAUACUAACACUAUAUUUGGGAAGAGGUGAAAAUGGAGGGAAUAGGAAAAACUAGGGGAGAAUUUUAUGCCUUGGGCACUAAACCCCUUUUAACCUAUUUGGGUCAAAAUCAUUGCAUUUACUCAUUUGUCCUCAUGAUGAAUUCUUUCUUUGAAAAAAGUGAAGGACAUUAUAGUAAUUUCAAUCAAAACAGAAAAUUCUUCCCAUUUUUACCCACUCUUUUUACUUUUCUUGCCAAAGGCUGACUGAUAUCUGCUCUUGAAAUCUAUGGCGCCAGACAUCUGCUAACUAAUGGGCUUAUCUCUUGCAUUUUAAAUAUGGAAUUUUUUUAUCUGUAAUCAUGACGGUUAAAUCUACUCCCACAUUUGUGCAUGUUCCAUUAUCUUUUUUAUCUUUAUAAAAUCUUCUAGAGUCUUGCUACCACUCUGUGCUGACAAAUCAUAUGGUUUCAGAGUGACAUGUAAUCAAUGGCAUCAUGCCAUUGUGCAUUUAGGUCCCUUAAGGGACUGUUCAAUAGUCAAAACUUAGGAUUUCAACUUGGAGGUGUCAGCUUCAAUCCAUUGGAUGGGAAUAGGGUUUUAUGGGGAGGAGUUGGACUACACCUAUUGAGUAAGCCAACCACUGGAACAGGAAAAAAUACAUACAGUUUGUCAUGGCUUGAAAUUGAAUGAGGAAAAUUGGAGAUUGAUGUGCAUUUAACAUAACUACAUAAGUUGUUGUGUGAAAGUACAUUUUCUUUCUGCUUUAAUCUGUAUUUGGUUGGACUAUUAGCCAAUGUUGCUUUGAAUUUCAGACUGGUUGGAAAGGACGUUAUCAGAAACUAGACCAGUUCCAAAAGUUGUGACUGUUGUUAACCCUGGCAACCCAACAGGGACAUACAUUCCAGAGUCCCUCCUCAAGAGGAUUUCAGAUCUAUGUAGAGACGCUGGAUCCUGGCUUAUCGUAGAUAAUACAUAUGAGUAAGUCUUCUGUCUAUAUCAUAGAUGUGUUUGAUAUAAUAGUAUUUUCAUUUUUUUUUUUAAUUUGAAUGUAUCCUAAUGAAUUUCAGGGAAGAGGGGAGGUUCUUAUGAGCUACAAAUGUCUUUAAAACACAAUUGAUUGAUUCUGAUUGAGAAUUGAUUCAUAACGUCAUUGGCGCAUUAUUAGGAGAAAUUUAUUGAUAUACACAACUUGUUCAUCCAGGAAUUACUCAUGAUUCAUGUUUCAAACUUAUUAUACUGGUGCAUAAUCGGUGUUUUUUGAAUGACCUCAUUGAUUUUACCCAGCGAAUGUGAAGUUAAUGCUUGGUGAACAGUGCUUAUAAGCAUGCAUGCUUGUUCAUGAUCUUGUGUUUGGAGUGAUGGGUGAUCAAAACUAGAACAUUGUGUUCUCUGAAUAAACAGGGAUACAUAUAAAAGAAGAUAUGGUAUGAUUUUUCUGAAAGUGGUGAAUUUAUUAAAAAAAAAAAAAGAAUCACAAAAACAAUUUGAUCAUAGUGUCAUAGUCAUGGGCUCAUCACACAGAAAAAGGACCAUUAAAAGCAAGUGCCAAAUUGGUGACUUUGUCAUUGAAGUCUGGUUGCUGGGGUGCAACAUCGUGCUAUCUGUUAGAGGUUCUUGCUGAUAUGACAUUCCAUUUAACUUGAGGAUCAACAAUAUAUGUUAAUUGCUGUCAAUUUAUGGAUCUUAACAACUUUCUUUGUAGGUAUUUUAUGUAUGAUGGUCUAAAACAUUCCUGCAUAGAAGGUGAUCAUGUUGUCAACAUCUUUUCCUUCUCAAAAGCCUAUGGGAUGAUGGGAUGGCGAGUUGGAUAUAUAGCAUAUCCGUUAGAAGUGGAGGGCUUUGCAACUCAACUCCUCAAGAUUCAGGACAACAUACCAAUCUGUGCCUCAUUACUUUCACAGCAUCUGGCCCUCUACUCCUUAGAAAUGGGACCUGAGUGGGUGACUGAGCAAGUGAAAAAUCUUGUGAGGAACAGAGAAAUCCUUCUUGUAGCUCUCUCCCCAUUAGGAGAAGAUGCUGUAAAAGGUGGUGAAGGUGCAAUUUACCUUUGGGCAAAGCUUCCUGACAAACAUCUUGAUGAUUUUAAAGUUGUUCGCUGGCUUGCUAAAAGGCAUGGGGUGGUUGUGAUUCCGGGAGGUGCUUGUGGAUGCCCAGGGCAUCUUAGGAUCUCCUUCGGGGGCUUGAUAGAGGCGGAUUGCAAAGCUGCUGCGGAGAGGCUGAGGAGAGGGUUAGAAGAAUUAGUGAACCAUGGAAUGAUGGAGUAAACUGUUUUACAGCCCAUUGCAUAUCGGAAUGGGAAAUCCAUUAGCCUGUUUGUUUAAGUUAACAACCCGUGCAUUCGAAUAAUAUGGAGGGUACGAAUGUCUGGAAGUAGAACAAUAGUUUAGUAAAUGAAAGGAUAUUCACCCGGCAGUUGGUCUGAACUCUGAAGUAGUAAUAAUAUUUCAGCAAAUUUACAUUGUUAAGCUACUUCCUGGAGAUGCUUUGCUGAUAUAUUUAUGUUCAAUACAUGCAUAAUACUUGUAUAUAUGAUAAUAAUUAAAAAAAAUAAGUGACCCAUUCACAAAGCAUCUCACCUCACAAUUGUGGCUUCUGGGGAGGGUUGAUGGACGCAGUCUUAUAUCUGUUUUGUAAAGAAGCUGUUUCUGUGACUCGCAUAUGUG
RNAcentral lists this unclassified non-coding RNA (4505 nucleotides) under Hevea brasiliensis (rubber tree). Lineage: Eukaryota; Viridiplantae; Streptophyta; Magnoliopsida; Malpighiales; Euphorbiaceae. The record is from RNAcentral.